UGGGGAAUAUUGCACAAUGGGCGCAAGCCUGAUGCAGCCAUGCCGCGUGUGUGAAGAAGGCCUUCGGGUUGUAAAGCACUUUCAGCGAGGAGGAAGGUGGUGAACUUAAUACGUUCAUCAAUUGACGUUACUCGCAGAAGAAGCACCGGCUAACUCCGUGCCAGCAGCCGCGGUAAUACGGAGGGUGCAAGCGUUAAUCGGAAUUACUGGGCGUAAAGCGCACGCAGGCGGUUUGUUAAGUCAGAUGUGAAAUCCCCCGGGCUCAACCUGGGAACUGCAUUUGAAACUGGCAAGCUAGAGUCUCGUAGAGGGGGGUAGAAUUCCAGGUGUAGCGGUGAAAUGCGUAGAGAUCUGGAGGAAUACCGGUGGCGAAGGCGGCCCCCUGGACGAAGACUGACGCUCAGGUGCGAAAGCGUGGGGAGCAAACAGGAUUAGAUACCCCUGGUAGUCCACGCUGUAAACGAUGUCGAUUUUGGAGGUUGUGCCCCUUGAGGCGUGGCUUCCGGAGCUAACGCGUUAAAUCGACCG
This 528-nucleotide ribosomal RNA is filed under the name uncultured bacterium. RNAcentral's name for it is "partial 16S ribosomal RNA". It matches the Rfam family "Bacterial small subunit ribosomal RNA", at positions 355 to 871 of the family's 1533-position model. The record is from RNAcentral.